RNAcentral lists this ribosomal RNA (305 nucleotides) under uncultured bacterium. RNAcentral's name for it is "bacterial SSU rRNA". It matches the Rfam family "Bacterial small subunit ribosomal RNA", at positions 338 to 660 of the family's 1533-position model. The record is from RNAcentral.
CCUACGGGAGGCAGCAGUGGGGAAUAUUGCACAAUGGGGGGAACCCUGAUGCAGCGACGCCGCGUGAGCGAAGAAGUAUUUCGGUAUGUAAAGCUCUAUCAGCAGGGAAGAAAAUGACGGUACCUGACUAAGAAGCCCCGGCUAACUACGUGCCAGCAGCCGCGGUAAUACGUAGGGGGCAAGCGUUAUCCGGAUUUACUGGGUGUAAAGGGAGCGCAGGCGGCGCGGUAAGUCUGAUGUGAAAGCCCGGGGCUCAACCCCGGGACUGCAUUGGAAACUGUCGUGCUGGAGUGUCGGAGGGGCAA